Molecule: long non-coding RNA, 1070 nt
Organism: Jaculus jaculus (lesser Egyptian jerboa)
Lineage: Eukaryota; Metazoa; Chordata; Mammalia; Rodentia; Dipodidae
Exons: 5
Source: RefSeq, a predicted model, not a curated record
GCCUCAGCGGGAGGCGCGGAAAUGCAAACCUAGCCUGCUGGCGUGAAAGCCCCCGGGGCCUAGCCACCACCCCCCCACGACAAGGCGACCCCCCACCUCUGUCUCUAUUCUAAGCCCCCCCUUUGCCCACCGCUACCCCUCUUCCUUCAUCCACCCUUCUCCAUUACUUGAGUUUGUGUUCUAAAUUCCAAGUGUUUUUGUCCUGGCGCUCGCCAAGAAAAUCGAUGGUUAGGAGAGAAACACCCGAAGAAUAGGAUCCAUCGUCUUUCACACAGCUCCCAAACAGGCGAAAGGCUCUCUUCCUGUGUGAAGAUUGGAAAGAGCCUUGGAAAUAGCAGGAGACCCGGGACUCUUUAUACAGAUGUGAUGAUGUUAUCAAGAUCUUGACAUGGGGAGAUGAACCAGAGAGAUCCUGGAAAUGGCCCAGCUCCAGACUGGGGGAGGCGAGAGAAGUUUGGCAGCAGCGCUUGGAACAGAGAAACCAACUAAAAACCCAGUGGAUCUGAAAUCCUUUUGAAGGUGCUGAGAAACCAAACAUCCUACUACCCUGAACUUGGAGUGGCCUGCCCUGACUCAGGACUUCUAAAAGGAGUCUGAUAGACUCACCAGCUUAGAAUGGACACAGGACAGAUGGACAGGUGUCUGGAUAAAAAUACCCCCCUACUAAUGCUGUGCCCGUACUUUGAGUUUACUCUAAGCCCCAGUCCUUCCCCUCUUUCAACCUCUGAACAGCAAACAGCCAACUAUAUAAAUCACUCCCUUAGUGGGGACUGGGGAGAUGGCUUAGCGGUUAAAGGCUUUCUCUGACAGCCUGAAGACCCGAGUUCAAUCCCCAGCACCCAUGUAAAGCUGGACACAAAGUGCACGUGCCCAUAAUCUCAAGACACGACAGUAGAAGGAGAUGAAGCCAUGAGAAUCCCCAGCUUUACCAGCGAGUGAGAUGCUCCUUCCCAGUGGCAAAAGCAAGAGGGACCCUGUCAAAGGAUAUGGAAAGAGAAGACUAUCCUCUGAUCUCCACACAUGCACCCAGACACUCACAAAAAGGAAAAAAAAAAUGUUUUUAAGCUUGG